Molecule: non-coding RNA, 579 nt
Organism: Vicugna pacos (alpaca)
Lineage: Eukaryota; Metazoa; Chordata; Mammalia; Artiodactyla; Camelidae
Source: RefSeq, a predicted model, not a curated record
CAGCUAUGAGUUACCAUUCUAUGAGAAAACAUGUUACCGCAUUACCACCAGAGGUGAAGAAGAAUCAAGCUGUUUCCAACCUAAAGAUCAGGACACCUGUACCACUUCAAACAAUAUGAAGAUGAAGAAACAGAGGAUCAAAGAAAUGAAGCCAAAGUUGCUCAGUUCAUGGAAAAGUUAAGGAACAGUUUCCUAUUGCUGCUCAGUCUCCAAGGACUUACCUCGUUUGAUGGGUUGACCGGUGCCAAGGGUCUCCUGCCAGAUUCAAACCCUGCUCAUUCCACCUGCAGUCAGGAGCCAGCAUCUCAUCCAGGAGUCACAUCACCCAUGCUCUGCACAUGACCCCAUGCAGAUGAGGAAUCUCCUGGGGAGAGAGCGGACCCACGGAUGCCCGGACCUCUGUGACCUAAGGCCUCCCAAGACUCUUAAUUUUGGCUGGUCAUGGGGCAGGGAUAUCAGAGUCCUCCCAUUGUAGGUUCUAGAGGUCAUAGAUUCCAGUGAGUUGUUUCAUGGGAUCAGGGACGCUCUGUUCUUUGUGUCCUUUCUGUGGCUGUCAUGGUUAGAAUGCAUUUGUUCUGA